AAACAGUACAAUCAAAACAUUAAAAAUGUUGCACACAGGCAGUCCUCCGCGCUUUGCAGCCGACUGAUUGAAAAUUAAAGUUAUUAAAAGAAAGAUCCACUUCCUAAAGCAAGGGCCUCCUGUUUGUUCAGGCUGAGAUCUCUCACAAUGUGUCAUCAUUGUGUGCUUGUGCCAUAAUCCGACGUGUUCGA
RNAcentral lists this long non-coding RNA (191 nucleotides) under Salvator merianae (Argentine black and white tegu). RNAcentral describes it as "lncRNA (ENSSMRG00000011561.1)". The record is from RNAcentral. Lineage: Eukaryota; Metazoa; Chordata; Lepidosauria; Squamata; Teiidae.